AAUAUUGGUCAAUGGCCGCAAGGCUGAACCAGCCAUGUCGCGUGAAGGAUGACGGCCCUAUGGGUUGUAAACUUCUUUUAUAUGGGAAGAAAAGUAGUUACGUGUAACUAUCUGCCGGUACCAUAUGAAUAAGGAUCGGCUAACUCCGUGCCAGCAGCCGCGGUAAUACGGAGGAUCCAAGCGUUAUCCGGAUUUAUUGGGUUUAAAGGGUGCGUAGGCGGCUCUAUAAGUCAGUAGUGAAAUCUCGAGGCUCAACCUCGAACGUGCUAUUGAAACUGUAGAGCUUGAGUACAGACGAGGCAGGCGGAAUGUGUUAUGUAGCGGUGAAAUGCAUAGAUAUAACACAGAACACCGAUAGCGAAGGCAGCUUGCCAGACUGUAACUGACGCUGAUGCACGAAAGCGUGGGUAGCGAACAGGAUUAGAUACCCUGGUAGUCCACGCCGUA
RNAcentral lists this ribosomal RNA (447 nucleotides) under uncultured marine bacterium. RNAcentral describes it as "bacterial SSU rRNA". It matches the Rfam family "Bacterial small subunit ribosomal RNA", at positions 360 to 804 of the family's 1533-position model. The record is from RNAcentral.